Molecule: transfer RNA, 75 nt
Filed under: Debaryomyces hansenii CBS767
Lineage: Eukaryota; Fungi; Ascomycota; Pichiomycetes; Serinales; Debaryomycetaceae
Description: tRNA Lys (CTT) cove
Rfam family: tRNA
About the family: Transfer RNA (tRNA) molecules are approximately 80 nucleotides in length. Their secondary structure includes four short double-helical elements and three loops (D, anti-codon, and T loops).
Source: RNAcentral
GCCUGGCUAGCUCAAUCGGUAGAGCGUUUGACUCUUAUUAUCAAAAGGUUGCGGGUUCGAUCCCCGCGUCGGGUU